UCUAUACGGUGAAACUGCGAAUGGCUCAUUAAAUCAGUUAUCGUUUAUUUGAUAGUACCUUGCUACAUGGAUACCUGUGGUAAUUCUAGAGCUAAUACAUGCUAAAAACCUCGACUUCGGAAGGGGUGUAUUUAUUAGAUAAAAAACCAAUGCCCUUCGGGGCUCCUUGGUGAUUCAUAAUAACUUAACGAAUCGCAUGGCCUUGCGCCGGCGAUGGUUCAUUCAAAUUUCUGCCCUAUCAACUUUCGAUGGUAGGAUAGUGGCCUACCAUGGUGGCAACGGGUAACGGGGAAUUAGGGUUCGAUUCCGGAGAGGGAGCCUGAGAAACGGCUACCACAUCCAAGGAAGGCAGCAGGCGCGCAAAUUACCCAAUCCCGACACGGGGAGGUAGUGACAAUAAAUACUGAUACAGGGCUCUUUUGGGUCUUGUAAUCGGAAUGAGUACAAUCUAAAUCCCUUAACGAGGAACAAUUGGAGGGCAAGUCUGGUGCCAGCAGCCGCGGUAAUUCCAGCUCCAAUAGCGUAUAUUAAAGUUGUUGCAGUUAAAAAGCUCGUAGUUGAACCUUGGGUCUGGCUGGCCGGUCCGCCUCACCGCGAGUACUGGUCCGGCUGGACCUUUCCUUCUGGGGAACCCCAUGGCCUUCACUGGCCGUGGCGGGGAACCAGGACUUUUACUGUGAAAAAAUUAGAGUGUUCAAAGCAGGCCUUUGCUCGAAUACAUUAGCAUGGAAUAAUAGAAUAGGACGUGCGGUUCUAUUUUGUUGGUUUCUAGGACCGCCGUAAUGAUUAAUAGGGAUAGUCGGGGGCGUCAGUAUUCAGCUGUCAGAGGUGAAAUUCUUGGAUUUGCUGAAGACUAACUACUGCGAAAGCAUUCGCCAAGGAUGUUUUCAUUAAUCAGGGAACGAAAGUUAGGGGAUCGAAGACGAUCAGAUACCGUCGUAGUCUUAACCAUAAACUAUGCCGACUAGGGAUCGGACGGUGUUCUAUGAUGACCCGUUCGGCACCUUACGAGAAAUCAAAGUUUUUGGGUUC
RNAcentral lists this ribosomal RNA (1032 nucleotides) under Paecilomyces sp. RNAcentral's name for it is "SSU rRNA". It matches the Rfam family "Eukaryotic small subunit ribosomal RNA", at positions 73 to 1114 of the family's 1831-position model. Lineage: Eukaryota; Fungi; Ascomycota; Eurotiomycetes; Eurotiales; Thermoascaceae. The record is from RNAcentral.